This 1437-nucleotide ribosomal RNA is filed under the name Klebsiella pneumoniae subsp. pneumoniae. RNAcentral describes it as "bacterial SSU rRNA". It matches the Rfam family "Bacterial small subunit ribosomal RNA". The record is from RNAcentral. Lineage: Bacteria; Pseudomonadati; Pseudomonadota; Gammaproteobacteria; Enterobacterales; Enterobacteriaceae.
CUCAGAUUGAACGCUGGCGGCAGGCCUAACACAUGCAAGUCGAGCGGUAGCACAGAGAGCUUGCUCUCGGGUGACGAGCGGCGGACGGGUGAGUAAUGUCUGGGAAACUGCCUGAUGGAGGGGGAUAACUACUGGAAACGGUAGCUAAUACCGCAUAACGUCGCAAGACCAAAGUGGGGGACCUUCGGGCCUCAUGCCAUCAGAUGUGCCCAGAUGGGAUUAGCUAGUAGGUGGGGUAACGGCUCACCUAGGCGACGAUCCCUAGCUGGUCUGAGAGGAUGACCAGCCACACUGGAACUGAGACACGGUCCAGACUCCUACGGGAGGCAGCAGUGGGGAAUAUUGCACAAUGGGCGCAAGCCUGAUGCAGCCAUGCCGCGUGUGUGAAGAAGGCCUUCGGGUUGUAAAGCACUUUCAGCGGGGAGGAAGGCGGUGAGGUUAAUAACCUCAUCGAUUGACGUUACCCGCAGAAGAAGCACCGGCUAACUCCGUGCCAGCAGCCGCGGUAAUACGGAGGGUGCAAGCGUUAAUCGGAAUUACUGGGCGUAAAGCGCACGCAGGCGGUCUGUCAAGUCGGAUGUGAAAUCCCCGGGCUCAACCUGGGAACUGCAUUCGAAACUGGCAGGCUAGAGUCUUGUAGAGGGGGGUAGAAUUCCAGGUGUAGCGGUGAAAUGCGUAGAGAUCUGGAGGAAUACCGGUGGCGAAGGCGGCCCCCUGGACAAAGACUGACGCUCAGGUGCGAAAGCGUGGGGAGCAAACAGGAUUAGAUACCCUGGUAGUCCACGCUGUAAACGAUGUCGAUUUGGAGGUUGUGCCCUUGAGGCGUGGCUUCCGGAGCUAACGCGUUAAAUCGACCGCCUGGGGAGUACGGCCGCAAGGUUAAAACUCAAAUGAAUUGACGGGGGCCCGCACAAGCGGUGGAGCAUGUGGUUUAAUUCGAUGCAACGCGAAGAACCUUACCUGGUCUUGACAUCCACAGAACUUUCCAGAGAUGGAUUGGUGCCUUCGGGAACUGUGAGACAGGUGCUGCAUGGCUGUCGUCAGCUCGUGUUGUGAAAUGUUGGGUUAAGUCCCGCAACGAGCGCAACCCUUAUCCUUUGUUGCCAGCGGUCCGGCCGGGAACUCAAAGGAGACUGCCAGUGAUAAACUGGAGGAAGGUGGGGAUGACGUCAAGUCAUCAUGGCCCUUACGACCAGGGCUACACACGUGCUACAAUGGCAUAUACAAAGAGAAGCGACCUCGCGAGAGCAAGCGGACCUCAUAAAGUAUGUCGUAGUCCGGAUUGGAGUCUGCAACUCGACUCCAUGAAGUCGGAAUCGCUAGUAAUCGUAGAUCAGAAUGCUACGGUGAAUACGUUCCCGGGCCUUGUACACACCGCCCGUCACACCAUGGGAGUGGGUUGCAAAAGAAGUAGGUAGCUUAACCUUCGGGAGGGCG